This 301-nucleotide ribosomal RNA is filed under the name uncultured bacterium. RNAcentral describes it as "partial 16S ribosomal RNA". It matches the Rfam family "Bacterial small subunit ribosomal RNA", at positions 509 to 809 of the family's 1533-position model. The record is from RNAcentral.
CAGUCGCCGCGGUAAUACGUAGGUGGCAAGCGUUGUCCGGAAUUAUUGGGCGUAAAGGGCUCGCAGGCGGUUCCUUAAGUCUGAUGUGAAAGCCCCCGGCUCAACCGGGGAGGGUCAUUGGAAACUGGGAAACUUGAGUGCAGAAGAGGAGAGUGGAAUUCCACGUGUAGCGGUGAAAUGCGUAGAGAUGUGGAGGAACACCAGUGGCGAAGGCGACUCUCUGGUCUGUAACUGACGCUGAGGAGCGAAAGCGUGGGGAGCGAACAGGAUUAGAUACCCCCGUAGUCCCUGUCUCUUAUAA